AAUCCAUAGGUUAAUGAGGCGAACCGGGGGAACUGAAACAUCUAAGUACCCCGAGGAAAAGAAAUCAACCGAGAUUCCCCCAGUAGCGGCGAGCGAACGGGGAGGAGCCCAGAGCCUGAAUCAGCAUGUGUGUUAGUGGAAGCGUCUGGAAAGGCGCGCGAUACAGGGUGACAGCCCCGUACACAAAAGCGCAUGUGCUGUGAGCUCGAUGAGUAGGGCGGGACACGUGGUAUCCUGUCUGAAUAUGGGGGGACCAUCCUCCAAGGCUAAAUACUCCUGACUGACCGAUAGUGAACCAGUACCGUGAGGGAAAGGCGAAAAGAACCCCGGCGAGGGGAGUGAAAAAGAACCUGAAACCGUGUACGUACAAGCAGUGGGAGCACAGGUUUACCUGUGUGACUGCGUACCUUUUGUAUAAUGGGUCAGCGACUUAUAUUCUGUAGCAAGGUUAACCGAAUAGGGGAGCCGUAGGGAAACCGAGUCUUAACCGGGCGUUAAGUUGCAGGGUAUAGACCCGAAACCCGGUGAUCUAGCCAUGGGCAGGUUGAAGGUUGGGUAACACUAACUGGAGGACCGAACCGACUAAUGUUGAAAAAUUAGCGGAUGACCUGUGGCUGGGGGUGAAAGGCCAAUCAAACCGGGAGAUAGCUGGUUCUCCCCGAAAGCUAUUUAGGUAGCGCCUCGUGAACUCAUCUCCGGGGGUAGAGCACUGUUUCGGCUAGGGGGCCAUC
This 731-nucleotide ribosomal RNA is filed under the name Salmonella enterica subsp. enterica serovar Kentucky. Its description in RNAcentral is "partial 23S ribosomal RNA". It matches the Rfam family "Bacterial large subunit ribosomal RNA", at positions 161 to 931 of the family's 2925-position model. Lineage: Bacteria; Pseudomonadati; Pseudomonadota; Gammaproteobacteria; Enterobacterales; Enterobacteriaceae. The record is from RNAcentral.